RNAcentral lists this unclassified non-coding RNA (456 nucleotides) under uncultured Mortierella. Its description in RNAcentral is "sequence contains ITS2". The stretch from base 1 to 154 matches the Rfam family "5.8S ribosomal RNA". Lineage: Eukaryota; Fungi; Mortierellomycota; Mortierellomycetes; Mortierellales; Mortierellaceae. The record is from RNAcentral.
AACUUUUGGCAACGGAUCACUUGGCUCUCGCAUCGAUGAAGAACGCAGCGAAAUGCGAUACGUAAUGUGAAUUGCAGAUUUCAGUGAAUCAUCGAAACUUUGAACGCAAAUUGCGCUCUCUGGUAUUCCGGAGAGCAUGCUUGUUUGAGUAUCAGUAAACACCUCAAAUCCCUCUACUUGUUGGAGGAGUUUGGACUUGGGCAUUCCCAACUUUUCGAAAGAGAUGGCGGGUUGCUUGAAAGGCAGGUGCAGCUAGAUUCUUUCUUCUGAGCUAUAAGCAUACUUAUUUAAUCCCGUCAAACGGAUUAUUACUUUUGCUGCAGCUAACAUAAAGGUUGAAGAGUCGCUAUGGCUGACUGAUGCAGGAUUUAACAUGUCGCGCAAGCGAUCUGUAAACUCGAUCUCAAAUCAAGCAAGACUACCCGCUGAACUUAAGCAUAUCAAUAAGCGGAGGCU